AACGAACGCUGGCGGCAGGCCUAACACAUGCAAGUCGAACGCCCGCAAGGGAGUGGCAGACGGGUGAGUAACGCGUGGGAACGUGCCUUCGGUUCGGAAUAACUCAGGGAAACUUGAGCUAAUACCGGAUACGUCCGUAAGGAGAAAGAUUUAUCGCCGAAGGAUCGGCCCGCGUCGGAUUAGCUAGUUGGUGAGGUAACGGCCCACCAAGGCGACGAUCCGUAGCUGGUCUGAGAGGANGAUCAGCCACACUGGGACUGAGACACGGCCCAGACUCCUACGGGAGGCAGCAGUGGGGAAUAUUGGACAAUGGGCGAAAGCCUGAUCCAGCCAUGCCGCGUGAGUGAAGAAGGCCUUUAGGG
This 362-nucleotide ribosomal RNA is filed under the name uncultured bacterium. RNAcentral describes it as "bacterial SSU rRNA". It matches the Rfam family "Bacterial small subunit ribosomal RNA", at positions 29 to 422 of the family's 1533-position model. The record is from RNAcentral.